Molecule: long non-coding RNA, 431 nt
Organism: Trichoplusia ni (cabbage looper)
Lineage: Eukaryota; Metazoa; Arthropoda; Insecta; Lepidoptera; Noctuidae
Exons: 3
Source: RefSeq, a predicted model, not a curated record
AGCGUGCGCGCGUUGCGGCGCCCCGAGCGGCUGCGCCGUACCUAAUGACACAUCAUAACAUGUCAUUGAACCAGUUAGUCGCAGCAAUGGCCUGUCUCUUCAGGUCAUUUAAAGGAUUUGACGGGUCCCAGCGCUGGUGAAGCCGCUGAUGAGCAGAAGCCUUUUAUAUCUAUAAACAAAUAACAAAUUAUCUAUAAACUACUGGAUAUAUUUGGCUAAGUUUUGCAUGAACCUUGUCGAACGCUUGAUACAACAUAUAUACAAAAAUCAUAACUCUACUACGCGAGAGGCAUGAGCAGCAACUUUUUAAAUUUUUGAACACACCAUAACAUCGUGUAAUACAAUUAUGAGGUGUAUUUUCACCGAUUUAGAAGUGGGCAGUACGGUCAUUAAUUUACAAAAAAAACAUCACGCUAUUUAUUUUAAGACUC